RNAcentral lists this ribosomal RNA (253 nucleotides) under uncultured bacterium. RNAcentral describes it as "partial 16S ribosomal RNA". It matches the Rfam family "Bacterial small subunit ribosomal RNA", at positions 524 to 776 of the family's 1533-position model. The record is from RNAcentral. RNAcentral also lists the same sequence under 1 other name.
UACGUACUGUGCGAACGUUAUUCGGAAUCACUGGGCUUAAAGGGUGUGUAGGCGGCCGGCUAAGUAGGGUGUGAAAGGCCUCGGCCUAACCGAGGCAUUGCGCUCUAAACUGACCGGCUUGAGUGAGAUAGGGGUGUGCGGAACUUCCAGUGGAGCGGUGAAAUGUGUUGAUAUUGGAAGGAACGCCGGUGGCGAAAGCGGCACACUGGGUCUUGUCUGACGCUGAGACACGAAAGCCAGGGGAGCGAACGGG